CUUAAUAUUUAUUUUUUGUCUAUAGAAAAUAUACUUUCGUUAUGGUCGGGGGAAAUCCCAAAAGCGGUAAGUGGACGGUUUUGUCUAUCGAGCUUUAUUUUGUGAUGAUAGCGGUGACGGACUGGAAAUUCACCGAAAAAAAAAUCCCGCCCCGCGUUAAGGUCACACAGAUGCAGAGUGUCAAUGCCGUUUGCGGAUACGCGGUGUGAUACAGUUGUAUACGUGAUUUUUUUUUUUUUUUUUUUUUUUUAUCACCGCGUAUACAUCCGAGUUUAACGAACCCGCGGCCCGUCAUCGUAAUAAUAUAAUUGCGCACGCGGAUACGAGCGGAGUGUCGAGACCAUUUGGCCGCGGCGCACCGUAAUAAUGUAUAAAGACUGGAUAAUUAUGGAAUUUAUGAAAACGAGCAUCUCGACGAGUUAAAGACGAAAUUGCGUAACGGCGCGUAUUUGUACAUGUAUAUUGUGUGUGUGUGUGUGUAUAUAUAUAGAAAGAGAAACAGGUUAUAUUAAAAAACGAUGCGACGGUAUGGUGCGUUUCGUUGUAUGCGUAUCCCCUAUAAUAUACGUUUAAAUAUACAGAGUGAUUUUUUUUUUUUUUUUUUAUCAUGAACCGGCAAUCAUCCCGGAGGAUUUUAAGUGAAUUUGAU
This is a non-coding RNA of Cinara cedri, 649 nucleotides long. Lineage: Eukaryota; Metazoa; Arthropoda; Insecta; Hemiptera; Aphididae. The record is from the annotation of a GenBank genome assembly.